Musa acuminata AAA Group (dessert banana) is the source of this 3407-nucleotide long non-coding RNA. RefSeq lists it as uncharacterized. The record is from RefSeq and is a predicted model, not a curated record. The transcript has 4 exons. Lineage: Eukaryota; Viridiplantae; Streptophyta; Magnoliopsida; Zingiberales; Musaceae.
CGAGCUCGGCUGCCCGUGCCAUCGCAAAGCUGUUCAUCGGUCUCUCCUCCCUCGCCAUUCACCUUGCUUCUCGAGAGCUGGACUCGCGACGACGACAUCGAGGCACGUGAAACGAACGAGAUCAAGAUGCGCCUUCGGAUGAUAUCCGCCCUGGAGGGCUCAACCAGCGCUUUCCUGUUCCUCGGGUUCGAUAAACCCUAAGAUCUUCCUGUUCUUAGGGUUAACAUUUGGAAUCUUGAUCGAAUCUUGAAGGUUUUUGGUGCGAUUGUUUCAGCGUCUCUUGUUCUGUUCGAAAGAUUCGUCCCAAGAUUUACUUAGGGCUUGACGUUGUGUUGUUCAAUCCUGCAUCGUUCUUUCAGUUGGAGGUUCGCAGAUGUGUUGACCGUGGGUGAUCUCUUCCGGCGAGCUAUGCGCCACUGGCGUACGAACCUUGGACCACUGAAACUCGAGGCUGCGUUGAGGAUCCUCAAUACUGUAAGACCUGUCUAUUUGUUCAUGUUUCGCAUGUUGGUAUUUGGGGCUGCAAGUGCAUAUGGUUAGUCUUGUGCAACAUAACAUGCUUUGAGAAAAGUUACUUUGUCGCUUAAAGAGGUCAAUGAUCUACUAUGCAUGUUACUGAUCUUCUAGUCACUAUAAUGCAUGGCAAAUAUAUCAGCGCUUCAGUAAGUUUAGAUGUUUCAAAUGACUAUUUUGUUCCUGAGUUACUGGGAAAAUGCUGAUAGCUAAAUUUGGCAACAUUUAGAAUGAUAUGUGUGUGUAUAUAUGUGUAUGUAUACAUACAUAUAUAUACACAUACAUACACAUAUACAUAUAUACAUACAUACAUAUAUAUAUAUACAUAUAUACAUACAUACAUAUAUUUAUAUAUACAUAUAUAUAUAUAUAUAUAUAUAUAUAUAUAUAUAUACAUAUAUAUAUAUUUAUUUAUUUAUAUAUAAUUUGGUGAGUGGCACAUGCGGCAUGUGAUUCCAUAUAAGUGCAUACUGGACCAGUACCACAUUGAAUGGACCAAUGACAAUUGGCAUGCAUGAAUAUAGAUGACUUAUAGGCAGGAAAUGGUUAUUCAUGUUCUUACAAGGAUUAAGUUAUGCAUUGGGUUAUCGUUAAACUUUUUUGCUUGUUUUUUAGUUUAAUAAUGGGAUUAUAUAGCUGUGAAGUUAUGAAUCAUUGAUUUAAUCUCAGAUGAAUUAAUCAUUUGUGAGCAGCUUUUGUUUGGUAGAAUGCUUAUAAUGUUAUUGGCAAGUCAAAUGCUUUGUCAACUUAGUUAUUCUCAAGUUAAUUGGACAUAUCAUCAGAAUCUUUCAUCAAUGGAACAGUGAAGGUAAUGACCACCUGUUUUGCGGUAGAGAUACAAGCCAAAAAGUUUUUAGAAUGAUACAUAGUGACCUAUGAUAGUUGGCAAAAAUAUCAGCAUGGUCAUAUAAACAACAUACAGCACGGCUUCGCAUAUCAUUGGCAUGUUUGCACAAACACGAUAGUCCUUCAAUGAAGGCUGAAGGAACAAAAAAGGAUGCCUAAUGUUGUUAUUUUAUUCCCUUAAUGCAAGAGGGGCUGUUCAGACUUCAUUAACCUGAUCUGAAUUUUGGCCACUGGGGCCACUACAUUGGCUCUGUUUUUUGCUCAUUCGUUGAUCGGUGGAAUGUUGUAGCUAUUGCCCCUGAAGAUCUGGCUAGCAAAUCUAAACUUAAAGAGAUCUAUAAAGUUCUUCAUCAAGCUUGUUAAUCAACCAAAAAAGAGGCAUGACGGCUCAUUGUAUGUGUUGUUUGUUUGAUCAGGCAAACCAAAGAUCAUUGAUUUUGUCUCUUAUGGCAAUUACAGUACAAGCACCAUAAAUAUGUCUGACCAAUUUAUAAGUCAUUUAAAGUUUAAAUUGCUUUGAAGACACGCCAUAUAGUGUCAGUUCACUCCCCUUUAUCUUGUACUUUGAUGAUUAUGUAAAGGAUAUCAUGUGAUUUGGGAACAUCAAAUUUAUGAACAUGAUUUUACUUCAUCAGUGGUGACAUGUUUGUGUGGUUAUGACUUGUGAUUCUACACUUAUCUCAGAUUGUACAUCUGCAAAUUGCAACCUGUUCACUAUUAGAUUACUGACAGAUUGACAGAAAAGCACAGAGUUCAAAGAGAUGCUGAAAUUGGAUGGUUUGGAAUGUCCUGCUAUCAAUGGAAAAUUGGGAACGAGAAGGAUGAGAGUGGAGCUCUUAAAAUUUGAGAGAACAACAUGCAAAUAUGUAAAUUUGGCUUUUAUGGCCCUUCUUGUUUCUCGAGACUUUUGUGGCCCUUUUCUAUUAUAUGUAUGACUCCUAAGGAGAGAAGCCUGAUGGUUGAUUAUAUUAAUGUUUGCAUCAAUCAUGUCCUUGUUGGAAGUAAGAUGUAGUUUUCUUCUAUUUCUUCUUAAAAUGAAAAUGCCAUGGUGAUUGGGUAGGGAGAUUGAAGGUGGGUUUUCAGAUAUAGAUUACCUUCUGAAGCAUAAUUUGAAUGUUUCUACAUACGUGUAAAAGAUAUGGUAGUUAUUUUUCUGUGCUAAGAAAUAUGAAGUUGAGAGUAAAGCCCUGAAUGCAUAUUAAGAUGUAUGAAUAGCCUUAUGGACUCUCUGUAUGCUUUCUUGAAAACAACCUAGUUCAUUGUAUAUUUCUCUCAACAAAUGUUCCAAUAAUAAAUUGCUAUGGGUGUUGAUGGAUGACAAGAUAACUAUGCAGGAAGGAUGACAUGAAAUAAAAGCUAAAGGAUGGUUCAGGCAUACUUGCACAAGUUCUCCUAAAUGUCACUUAAGGUAACUACGUGUACAUUCCCCAGUUAUGGAAGAUACAAGUAUCACUAUUUGGACAUUAUGCCUUCGAAGGACCAUCAACUUCCACAGGCAUAAAAUCUGGUACGUCCAACUCAAGAGACUUUGGCUGUGCUGUGGCAGAACAGCACAUGUAUGGCCAGUGUUGCUGCACGAGGUGCUCAAAACAUCCACUCCGAAGUGAUGCGUAAGUUGGCGAAUCUCCUGUAUAUCGAAGCAACAAGGUGUAGCAGAUCCACUCCGACCUCUAAGGCCUUACGUCCCCAGUGGGCGGUGGGAGGAGCCGGGAAGGGAGGUUCGGCCAUCAUAAAGAAAAGCAAAGCAGGCAAAACCGAGUGCUGGCAAAAGGGUCGCCAUCUGAACUAGCGUGGCAAGAAAACGUGUGGUGGUAUCGGAGAUUCUACGAGAUAAGAAGACAUCUAACAAAGGAAGAAAUAGAAAGUGUCCUCUUUUCGUCACCUUCGCUCUCCAUGCUUUAGUAAUUCUGUCUUUCUUGCCUCUCCAGCUUGUCGAUCAAUACAAGAUUUCUUCCUAGAAUUGUUCUGUUGCUGGUUCUGUUGUAGGAAAUGUUGUUGACUGGGUUACCAAGUUGUGGAAGGAGUGACGGAGGUAUGGUUCAUCUUUA